UUAUAUGAAAGGAAAACAUAUUUGCAUCUUAAGUCACUGAAUUUUGGGAUUCUUCAUUACAGCAGCUGAGCCUAUACCCUGCUUGAUUAAUAACUAGUCUUUUAAGGAAGGCUCUACCCUUCUACCUGCUCUACUUGCUGGUUCACAACUAUGUUACCAACAUGAGAACAUGACCUCUUUGCUCCUUAUUGAUCUAUUUUCCUUUGGGUUCUUUAGCAAUCAGUCUUUAAAUUCUUGGCUCAGUGUUGCUGUCCUUAAUCCACCUGGACUCUUUGGAUCUUGUAUUUCAGAAUGCUUGCCUUGAUUUUCCUCUAGGACUUAUGGUUUAGCUCACAUCUCUGACCAAUCUGCCAGCCAAUACCUUGAGUAGAAAAUCCCCAGGAAAUCAUUCCGAAACCCAGCAUUUGGCAAGGGCUGGGCUGGGCAAUCUCUAUUCUUAUUACCCCAAGGAGUGGCAUGGAGGGAAUUAGCUGAAUGAGCUAAUGAAUGAAUGGGGUGUAGCAAUCAAUUCCAACAUCCCAAAUUAUUUCUAAAUGCCAGAAUUUUCCUCUUUCCACAUCCCCACUGAUUCAAGAUUCUAGAUGUUUUUCCUGUGAUGAGUUAGUUCCCUGAGACCCAUUUCACGGUUGAGGAGCUUGAGGGAGAGCUAAGCAAAGUGAAGCUAGUGAGGGCUAAGAUCACAAACGUUGUCGGAAGAAUGAGCCUGCAAGAACACCCUACUUUGCUGGCAGCCACUGGAGGAAAGGAUUCACCGACAUGAACAUAACUCUCUUUUUCUGACCGAACAAAUGAGAAGUAACUAGGAUUGAGGCUUCUCUUCUCACCGCUUCGCAUCCUUAAUCUGCCAGCCCACAAGACGUCCGAGGAGCAGAAAAUGUAAUUUUGCCCAAUUUUACUGAACUACGACCUUUCCUCGUCUGGAAAAACAAUAAUAAAGUACUCUAACCCUUAAA
Molecule: non-coding RNA, 953 nt
Organism: Callorhinus ursinus (northern fur seal)
Lineage: Eukaryota; Metazoa; Chordata; Mammalia; Carnivora; Otariidae
Source: RefSeq, a predicted model, not a curated record